This 484-nucleotide ribosomal RNA is filed under the name uncultured bacterium. RNAcentral describes it as "partial 16S ribosomal RNA". It matches the Rfam family "Bacterial small subunit ribosomal RNA", at positions 30 to 507 of the family's 1533-position model. The record is from RNAcentral.
AUUGAACGCUGGCGGCAGGCCUAACACAUGCAAGUCGAGCGGAUGAAGGGAGCUUGCUUCUGGAUUCAGCGGCGGACGGGUGAGUAAUGCCUAGGAAUCUGCCUGGUAGUGGGGGAUAACGUCCGGAAACGGGCGCUAAUACCGCAUACGUCCUGAGGGAGAAAGUGGGGGAUCUUCGGACCUCACGCUAUCAGAUGAGCCUAGGUCGGAUUAGCUAGUUGGUGGGGUAAAGGCCUACCAAGGCGACGAUCCGUAACUGGUCUGAGAGGAUGAUCAGUCACACAGGAACUGAGACACGGUCCAGACUCCUACGGGAGGCAGCAGUGGGGAAUAUUGGACAAUGGGCGAAAGCCUGAUCCAGCCAUGCCGCGUGUGCGAAGAAGGUCUUCGGAUUGUAAAGCACUUUAAGUUGGGAGGAAGGGCAGUAAGUUAAUACCUUGCUGUUUUGACGUUACCAACAGAAUAAGCACCGGCUAACUUCGUG